UCUCAACAUCUCUGGAAC
RNAcentral lists this non-coding RNA (18 nucleotides) under Arabidopsis thaliana (thale cress). Lineage: Eukaryota; Viridiplantae; Streptophyta; Magnoliopsida; Brassicales; Brassicaceae. The record is from RNAcentral.